This 396-nucleotide unclassified non-coding RNA is filed under the name uncultured fungus. Its description in RNAcentral is "partial contains 5.8S ribosomal RNA, internal transcribed spacer 2, and large subunit ribosomal RNA". The stretch from base 1 to 52 matches the Rfam family "5.8S ribosomal RNA", at positions 103 to 154 of the family's 154-position model. The record is from RNAcentral. Lineage: Eukaryota; Fungi.
AACGCAUAUUGCGCCUUCUGGUAUUCCGGAAGGCAUGCUUGUUUGAGUAUCAGUAACAACCUCAACUCUGGUUCUAUCGCGCGCAAUGCGUGAGAGAAAGAGGAGUUGGAUUUGAGCAUAUCCCACCGGCCAUACUUUGGCAAGGAAAGGGGAUGCUUGAAAUUGAGGUUCGGCCGACAGUGCCUGGGCUACAAGCAUUUCAUACUUAAUCCCGUUAAACGGAUUAUAUCUUUUUGCUGCAGCCAACAUGGAAGGGUAACUGUCCGUGUCCCGACUGAUGCAGGAAAGUUGAGAUUGAAGGGGGGAGGGGGAGAAUCCUUUGUGGGUCCCCUCUCGCUCCUCUCUCUCUCUUCUAAACUCGAUCUCAAAUCAAGUAAGACUACCCGCUGAACUUAA